Molecule: ribosomal RNA, 253 nt
Filed under: uncultured bacterium
Lineage: Bacteria
Description: partial 16S ribosomal RNA
Rfam family: Bacterial small subunit ribosomal RNA
Source: RNAcentral
GACGGGGGGUCCAAGCGUUGUUCGGAAUCAUUGGGCGUAAAGCGUGUGCAGGUGGUUUUGUAAGUUGGAUGUGAAAGCCCCGGGCUUAACCCGGGAAGUGCAUUCAAAACUGCAAAACUUGAGUAUGGAAGAGGGUCGUGGAAUUCCUGGUGUAGUGGUGAAAUACGUAGAUAUCAGGAGGAACACCGGUGGCGAAGGCGGCUACCUGGCCCAACAUUGACACUGAGACCCGAAAGCGUGGGGAUCAAACAGG